RNAcentral lists this transfer RNA (77 nucleotides) under Candidatus Handelsmanbacteria bacterium RIFCSPLOWO2_12_FULL_64_10. Its description in RNAcentral is "tRNA-Pro". It matches the Rfam family "tRNA". Rfam says of the family: Transfer RNA (tRNA) molecules are approximately 80 nucleotides in length. Their secondary structure includes four short double-helical elements and three loops (D, anti-codon, and T loops). Further hydrogen bonds mediate the characteristic L-shaped molecular structure. tRNAs have two regions of fundamental functional importance: the anti-codon, which is responsible for specific mRNA codon recognition, and the 3' end, to which the tRNAs corresponding amino acid is attached (by aminoacyl-tRNA synthetases). tRNAs cope with the degeneracy of the genetic code in two manners: having more than one tRNA (with a specific anti-codon) for a particular amino acid; and 'wobble' base-pairing, i.e. permitting non-standard base-pairing at the 3rd anti-codon position. The record is from RNAcentral. Lineage: Bacteria; Candidatus Handelsmaniibacteriota.
CGGGGUGUGGCGCAGCCCGGUAGCGCACCUGCUUUGGGAGCAGGGGGUCGCCGGUUCGAAUCCGGCCACCCCGACCA